This 108-nucleotide small nuclear RNA is filed under the name Castor canadensis (American beaver). The record is from RNAcentral. Lineage: Eukaryota; Metazoa; Chordata; Mammalia; Rodentia; Castoridae.
GUGCUGGCUUCAGCAGCACAUAAAAUUAAAAUGAUACAGAGACAGAGACGAUUAACAUGGCCCUUGUGUUAGGAUGACAUGCAAAUUCGUGAAGCAUUCCAUAUUUUU